RNAcentral lists this ribosomal RNA (497 nucleotides) under uncultured bacterium. RNAcentral describes it as "partial 16S ribosomal RNA". It matches the Rfam family "Bacterial small subunit ribosomal RNA", at positions 28 to 507 of the family's 1533-position model. The record is from RNAcentral.
GAUGAACGCUGGCGGUGUGCCUAAUACAUGCAAGUCGAGCGAACGGACGAGAAGCUUGUUUCUCUGCUGUUAGCGGCGGACGGGUGAGUAACACGUGGAUCACCUACCUAUAUGACUGGGAUAACUUCGGGAAACCGGAGCUAAUACCGGAUAAUAUUUUGAACCGCAUGGUUCAAAAGUGAUAGACGGUCUUGCUGUCACUUAUAGAUGGAUCCGCGCUGCAUUAGCUAGUUGGUAAGGUAACGGCUUACCAAGGCAACGAUGCAUAGCCGACCUGAGAGGGUGAUCGGCCACACUGGAACUGAGACACGGUCCAGACUCCUACGGGAGGCAGCAGUGGGGAAUCUUCGGCAAUGGGCGCAAGCCUGACGGAGCAACGCCGCGUGAGUGAAGAAGGUCUUCGGAUCGUAAAACUCUUUUAUUAGGGAAGAACAUAUGUAUGAGUAACUGUGCACAUCUUGACGGUACCUAAACAGAAAGCCACGGCUAACUACGUG